UUAAAAUCUCAGGUUCCAAGACGCCAGUCAGAUUCUUGUGUUGGGUAUACAAACUCCAAAGCCGACAAACUUAAAAUAGUGUCGAGAAAUCUCCCAUCAGGUAAUUCCAGCACCUUCCAUACCCUGUUUUGGUGUUUUGGAGGAGGUAGUAUUCAAGACAUUUCUAUCUUACAAAAUCUGCCAUGGUGCGGGUCUGAGUCACCAUGUCUUAUUUGGGGUAUCCUUUCUUCCUUUAGGCUCCAUCAUGGACUUUGUGGACCCUGCAGUUUCUAUUUUCCUUUGAAUAUUAUUCUCAGCACCUCAGUACUGGACUUAGUUUUGUCAAUGUUUGUUGACAAAUCUCCCAUCCUUUCUUGUGCGGAGGAGUCUUCACAGUUAGUGGUGGGGAAAUUGAAGCAUUUGUGGAGUUGCUGCUUUUCCUCUUCUGACCUCCUGUUCUCCAUCCAUACUGCAUCUCCAGCCAGGUCACGAGGCCUCGAUCCUCACUGGCUGAACCUAAGUGGAAACCAAGAGAAAAGGGACUCCUACAGACCAACUACUCAGAGCGGAUCGCAGGGUGGAGAAAGAAAUAAACAGACCUGCAAGAACAAGUGAAAGAGAUCUCACACAGUGUGUUUGUCAUGGACUACUCUCUGUGUGUGACUCAUUUCAACAAUCUCUGUCUUUUUAUGGGUGAAAUUAGCUCUCCUACCUUGAGUUAGUGACUCUUAUACCUAAUAUUAUGCUUCCCAUUUUAUUUUACAUUGACUGGCUAUUUUCACUCAUUGUUUUCUCUUAGUUUUUUUUUCCCCCCCUCAUUUUUGCUCUUUGGUCAAAUUACUAUUCACUCCUUUCUUUUUUUUUUCUCCCUGUUAAAUUGGAAGUUUACAGUACAUUUCCUUUCCACUGAUUUUUCCCUUCCCAUAUUCAACACACUUGCUAUUAGACCUCAGUACUAUAUAAAAACAAAAUACCAACUUUUACUCCUCCUGCGUACUCACUUCCCAGAUUGUUUCAAUAUCUAUUUCAUUGGAAACAUGAAACUUUAGAAAAGUUUUACUUCCUUUUUCUCCACACCGUAACCCUGGCCCCCACAACUUCUAGGUUUGAAAGACAUACUUCACUAUGUUCAGUCCCAGAUGAUUUGGAGGCUUCCCUUUGUAGCAUGCCUAGUUUAAGAACCCUAAUUAAUACAUAUUACAAAUCCCCUGUCAUUCUGUUACUCCCUGUUUGGAUUUAACUAUAUGCAAGUGUAGGUUUUUGCCACUUAUCAUCUUCCCCAUCUGAAGGUCCCUGUUCUAAUUCACUUGUUUUUUUUGAUUAAAAUAAUUUUAGAGGUAUUUUCCACAGAUGGAGUAUGUGGGUAUAUUAGUCCACUUUCAUACUGCUAUGAAGAAAUACCCAAGACUCGGUAAUUUAUAAAGAAAAAAUAGAGUUUAUAAAGACUCAUAGUUCUACAUGUCUGGCAGGCCUCACAAUCAUGGUGGAACACGAAGGGGGAGCAAAGGUACAUUUUACAUGGUGGCAGACAAGAGUGCAUGUGUAGGGGAACUGCCCUUUAUAAAACCAUUAGAUCUCAUGAGACUUAUUCCCUAUCACAAAAACAGCACAGGAAAAAUCCACCCUCAUGAUUCAGUCACCUUCUACCCUGUUCCUCCCACAACACGUGGGGAUUAUGGGAACCAUACUUCAAUAUGAGAUUUGAGUGGGGACACAGCCAAACCAUAUUAUUCCACCCUUGGCCCCUCACAAAUCUCAUGUCCUCACAUUUCAAAACCAAUCAUCCCUUCCCGACAGUCCCUCAAAGUCUUAACUCAUUUCAGCAUUAACUCAAAAGUCCAAAGUUCAAAGUCUCAUCUGAGAUAAGGCAAACUGCUUCUGCCUAUGAAUCUGUAAAAUCAAAGCAAGUUAGUUACUUCCUAGAUACAAUGGGGGUACAGGCAUUGGGUAAAU
This 1932-nucleotide long non-coding RNA is filed under the name Papio anubis (olive baboon). RNAcentral's name for it is "lncRNA (ENSPANG00000041402.1)". The record is from RNAcentral. Lineage: Eukaryota; Metazoa; Chordata; Mammalia; Primates; Cercopithecidae.